Molecule: long non-coding RNA, 89 nt
Filed under: Carlito syrichta (Philippine tarsier)
Lineage: Eukaryota; Metazoa; Chordata; Mammalia; Primates; Tarsiidae
Description: Taurine upregulated 1 conserved region 2 (ENSTSYG00000033418.1)
Rfam family: Taurine upregulated gene 1 conserved region 2
About the family: TUG1 (taurine upregulated gene 1) is a long non-coding RNA expressed in retina and brain.
Source: RNAcentral
AAAAUGUGUUGGUCUUUUAGCUCUUUUGUAAUUAAAUCUGGAUGUACCUCAAAAGAAUCUUAAUACUGUGGUGAUAAGAUACUUUCCUC